This 3035-nucleotide small RNA is filed under the name Rattus norvegicus (Norway rat). RNAcentral describes it as "uncharacterized LOC102547456". The record is from RNAcentral. Lineage: Eukaryota; Metazoa; Chordata; Mammalia; Rodentia; Muridae.
UCACAGGAAGAAUCUCAAAUAUGGGAGGAAGUGAACAUACCUUGGUUGUCUUAGGAGGGAAAAAAAAAGAGUCAGAGUCACAGUGUCACAAUGAUUAAAGAAAAAGUUGGGGCUGGCAGCAGCCGACACCCUUUCUAUUGGUGAAAGACUUCUGUAGAGAAUGUGGCCAAAGAGACACCUAGGCUCAUAAAGGCCAGAAUUCUGACUCCAUGUUCUAUGAGGUCACAAGAGCUAAUUCUCCAGCAUAGCUGAAAGUUCCAAUGUCAAGUUCUCUGGGGACACAGAAUACUAGAGUGCUGCAGACAUGGAGCUCUGCCCUUCCUCCAGCCCCAGCCUGCGCACCUUAGCUCUGGCUGCCCCUUCUGUGCAUCAGCUGGAAUUCCCCAGGAGGUAGAGGAGGUUUUGCACAGGGGAAGGCCGUCAAUCACCGGAACUGGGAGGGUAGGACCGUGCUGAGAGGGGAACCCAAGUUCUCAUUCAGGGUGGAGCAACAGCUAAGUCCUGACCAACCUGAGGCAGGCUCGACCUGAUGAAGGGACAGCUCAUCGGGAUCCCUUGUAGUAGCUGGCUCCCCUACAGUCUGGAAUGCCUCAGGGCCAACGUGGGAUCAAGCAGGAAAAGGAAACUGCUGGAUUAACUGUGCCAAACUCAAAUCACUAUGUUCAGUGAAUUACAAGGAGCCAAAGGAAAUGAUGAGGGUAGAUAAGAGACUAAGGUGAACCAAAUGUCCCUAGAGGCUCUAACUGCUGUAUGCGCUUGAUCCCACCAUCCUACUAUCCCUUGUGCCAUAGGUGAGCAUGUGACGAGCGACUACUUGGAGCCAAACAUUUAUGUCCUCCUGAGUCAACUUGUGAAGCUACACACAUGAGACAGUGUGGGUAUGCUGCAUAAUCAGGUUCUUCCUUGAAGACCACUCAUCUCGCUGGUUGAUUCUUGAUGAGGCAGGUGGCAGGAGCUUGGCUUGUUUGAACCCUUCAGGGUCAGAAGUGGAGCAAGAAGACUAGGUAAGUGGAAAGAGGCAAGCCAGAGUAGAGCGCAGACCAGAAAAGCCAGAGUACACCAAGCUGAGGGCAUGACUGGCCCUCUCUUAGAGGGACAUGCACCUGACUAUUACAGAGAAAGACCCCUGAACAUCUCUUCCACCCAAUUCACCUUCCAGGUUCUCAGAUACUGAGCUAUAAUCACCAACGUUCCUGCAACCUGCUAUUGAUUUCCAAGUCUGGCGGAUGGAAUCCCUGAAGUGGCAGUUUACCAGAGAUGGAGACGCAGAAGUUUCCAGCUCUCCAUGCUAGAAACAGCAUUUGCAUUGUUCUUGCCUGGGAAAUGGAUUACUGUUUCAAAAAUAGGGCUACCCUCGUGGCAAGGAUCAUUCUGAGGCAUCAAUAGCAGGUCUUCUCAGAUCAUUUUGGACCAGGUGCCUUUCUCUGGACAUUUAUGGGAGACCCUGCAAAUCACAGAGAGACAAGAACAAACGACUAGUCCAGAGAUUUCCUUUCCUCAUUUAUAUUCUGCAUCCUAAAACGAGUCUGUUUUCUUUAUAGACAAAUUCCUUUGGAUAAGGCUGGGUCUGCAGGAGAAUCUUCAUCAGAUGCAAUCAAAGUAUAAAGUGGGUCACAUAAAAAAUCAACCAUGACUAACAUUUGAACCCAAGCUAGUUACUUGUAGAGUCAAAGUGUGUGAUCAUAGCCCUCUGGUACCUGUGUUGUGUUUUGAGGAAAGAAGAAGGAGGAAGGAAGAAGGAGGAAGGAGGAAGGAGGAAGGAGGAAGGAGAAUGACAAGGUUCAAGGCAAAAUAUACAACUCUUGGUUCAGACUGUUCUCUGAAAAAGUCAAAGAACAAUGGAAGUCUAUAGGAGAGCCCUGGACCCAGAGGUUGGGGAAAUGCUCUCUGGAUCUCUCAUGUCUAGGAUCUACUUCCCACUGUCAACACCAAAUUAUAGUACAGAAAGAUGCUUUAACACAGCUCCAAGCUGCAUCAGUCACUUCCAUUGGGUUUUAUUGGUCUUUGAGAGUUUGCCUACUGAAUAGUAAGUCUGAGGACCAACUCAUGUCCCAAGUCAGAGCAAACUGCUGUCAUCUUCGAUGUGACUUGAAAAGUCACAUGGAGAGAAGUCAGUUUUGCAUUCAGCACGGGAUGUUUUCAGAGUGUGAGGACAUACCCACCAUCUUGGGAUGAUAUCCAUUUCAGUAUGUUAAAAGUGUUUGCAAACAUAAAAUAUAUAAAGGCAUAACACAAAUGGCAUAUACAGGCCAUCAACUCUUUGAAAAGGUCAGUUUCCCUAAAACAAGUUAAGGGAGGCGCAUAUGAAGCAUGGCUGGCCUUUGAUGCUUGCAGAUUUAAGCUAACAGCACGUAGACAUGUUGCUAAGGCGUGAAUGGAGAUGCUUUACUAUAUGGUCAGCACACAGGGAAGGGCACACUACUCGGGGAGACAGGGAGCCUGGCCAGGGGGCUGGGUCCCACUUCUGGCACUAUUCUCCAACACAUGUGUGCAGUGAUUCUCAGGUAGUGGCAAAACCUUCACUCCCUUGUAAAAAAAAAAUUGUGGCCCUUGAGCCCUUAUCAAAGUCAGAAGAGGAAACAAGUAUGCGGCUGUGCAAAGCAGACUUUCUGUACUUUCUAUCCCACAGUUCUGAGAACAGCUAGGGAUGUGCAUGGGAUGAGCCCGUGCCUCGAGUGUGCUGUUGAAUCAGGAGCCCUGUUUGCCCGUCCUCAUCUCUGGGUCAAGGGACCAGAUGUACAGCCUUACUCCCCCAGUCCACUGGGACCAACCUCACUUACUGAGGUCACGGUAUAUCUUUGGUAUCGGUCCACAAAGUCUCUAGCUCACUGUACCUAGCUCUUAACCUGGGUCCACAGCUCUUCAAACACGUAAGGAGAUGUAUCUCCUAUGAAACUCUUCCUUCUACGAUAAUCCAUUUAAACUCACUUUUCUAUUCUUCUGAACUUGAAUGGCCCUUGGCACUUAUAUUCCAGGGUCAGACAGCUUGGCCAUAGUUAUCUGUCUGCCAUCAGUACUACUUACACUAUUACCAC